RNAcentral lists this ribosomal RNA (468 nucleotides) under uncultured bacterium. RNAcentral's name for it is "partial 16S ribosomal RNA". It matches the Rfam family "Bacterial small subunit ribosomal RNA", at positions 28 to 507 of the family's 1533-position model. The record is from RNAcentral.
GACGAACGCUGGCGGCGUGCUUAACACAUGCAAGUCGAACGGAAAGGCCCUGCUUUUGUGGGGUGCUCGAGUGGCGAACGGGUGAGUAACGCGUGAGUAACCUGCCCUUGACUUUGGGAUAACUUCAGGAAACUGGGGCUAAUACCGGAUAGGAGCUCCUGAUGCAUGGUGGGGGUUGGAAAGUUUCGGCGGUUGGGGAUGGACUCGCGGGUUAUCAGCUUGUUGGUGGGGUAGUGGCUUACCAAGGCUUUGACGGGUAGCCGGCCUGAGGGGGUGACCGGCCACAUUGGGACUGCGAUACGGCCCAGACUCCUACGGGAGGCAGCAGUGGGGAAUAUUGCACAAUGGGCGGAAGCCUGAUGCAGCAACGCCGCGUGCGGGAUGACGGCCUUCGGGUUGUAAACCGCUUUCGCCUGUAACGAAGCGUGAGUGACGGUAAUGGGUAAAGAAGCACCGGCUAACUACGUG